AAUGUUUAAAUAUUAAGACAUUAAAAAUAUUAAUGUAGGCAUUGUAUAAAAAAGGCACUUAUGAUGAAAAUUCACAGACCUGUUCUGAGUAAUGAGGAACUAUUUAAAUAACUGAAACUACUAGAUAAUACGAAUGUAUAUAUAUGGUAGUUUCAAACAAAAAUUAAUAUAAAAAUAAUAUGUUGUUUUUUGCAGGUUAAUAAUGAGUUCUUGACAAGUUGAUGAGUGAAUUUAUAAUCAACCAAAAGACGUUAUUGCAGGAGCUCAUCAUGUCUCUAUCUAAGUUGCUGAUUACAUUUGGAAAGAUGCAGCAAGAAGCUAUCACUUGAAUAGUAACAACGAGAAUCCUCAAGAUCGCUUACAUGACGAACAGCUCAAGGAGAAAACAGAGGCUUUCAUUAUUAAGUCAUACAAAUGUGUUGUUGUAAUAAAACAUAUUGAAAAAAAA
Molecule: long non-coding RNA, 448 nt
Organism: Trichoplusia ni (cabbage looper)
Lineage: Eukaryota; Metazoa; Arthropoda; Insecta; Lepidoptera; Noctuidae
Exons: 4
Source: RefSeq, a predicted model, not a curated record